CUGGGAGGUACCUGGUUGGAGGUGAGGAAGGACGUAUUUUCUUCCCCUUCCGCCAUGAUUGAGGAGAUGACCUCAAGACAAGCAGCUUCCAUGCAAUACUGCAGCAAGGGCUUACUUUCCUGAGCAUUUCCCACGCUCCAAUCACUGCUCUAAUUCCUUUAGAUGUGUUAACUCACUUCCUGCUCACAAUACUUCUAUGAGGCACUCAGCAGCUGUUUCCUGAGCUGAUGUACAUCUCAUUAGUCUAUCAAGCUCCAACAGCCAAGGCCAAGGCCCCCAGAAUGAAAAACUGACGCAGCCACCCCUUCCUGUGCCAGAGACAGGAGAAGGGAGGGAGACUGACGGCCUUUGUUCUCUGAGCAAGACCGUAAAGCACUUCGCCUACAGGCCACAAGAGGGCGAUGGUGGUCCACACAUAAGAUCUUCCCAAAGAGCCAGCCAAAAACGCCUGCCUGGAGAAUCUGGAGGUUGUGAAAGGUGACUUUGUUAAGGAAGGGCGAUGGCCCUUCUCCCUGCCCCAGAGCUCUGAAAGCCUUUAAAGUGGCUUUAGCAGCGUGGUUUAAGAAUGGCUCCUUCGGUACAAGGACGGCCAUCACUGCUUCUCCUACUGUGUUUGAUGCCAGCGUUCUUCCCGUCUGCAGGGAAGGACGGAGAGUGAGGAGGGCACACAGGACGUAGCUGGCUCCUGGCCAUGGACGGUGACCGCUCUGGGGCCAGCAGGGUAGAGCUGCCUUCCUACAUCUGAGAACUCAAGGGCGAGAGGGAGGCAGGGCAGGGGAGAGGGUUGGUCUCAGUUCACAGGGCGACCCUCUGGCCCUGGUUCUGACGGCGACUCGCUGUGUAAGCUAAGGAGUGUCUCGCUCUGUACAGCGGGCAGGUGGUGGGUCUCUGCACGUCCAGCAUCUCCAGCUUUCCGUCCUCUGAGCUGUUUUGACAUGGGAGGCGCUGGCAGGGAGAGAGGGGUCACUGAUGUGGGAAGCUGGUGCAGAGCUGGGGAGUAGCUUGUGAUGCUGGAGAACCUGGAGAUGCCCCUCCCAUUCCUUGGGCCUCGACUGUCUCAUCUGUGGAAUGGGCGGGUCAGACUGGAUAAUCUCUAACCAUUGCUUCCCUUCACUUCUGUCCCAAUAAACACACACGGAGCUUUUUCGUUUGUCUUUUGUCUUUUUUUUUUUUUUUUUUUUUUUUUUAGAGACGAGGUCUCACUAUGUUGUUCCCCAGGUCUGAGUACAG
RNAcentral lists this long non-coding RNA (1230 nucleotides) under Homo sapiens (human). Its description in RNAcentral is "HSALNT0152973". The record is from RNAcentral. Lineage: Eukaryota; Metazoa; Chordata; Mammalia; Primates; Hominidae.